This 396-nucleotide ribosomal RNA is filed under the name uncultured bacterium. RNAcentral describes it as "partial 16S ribosomal RNA". It matches the Rfam family "Bacterial small subunit ribosomal RNA", at positions 523 to 918 of the family's 1533-position model. The record is from RNAcentral.
AUACGUAGGGUGCAAGCGUUAAUCGGAAUUACUGGGCGUAAAGCGCGCGUAGGUGGUUCGUUAAGUUGGAUGUGAAAGCCCCGGGCUCAACCUGGGAACUGCAUCCAAAACUGGCGAGCUAGAGUAUAGCAGAGGGUGGUGGAAUUUCCUGUGUAGCGGUGAAAUGCGUGGAUAUAGGAAGGAACACCAGUGGCGAAGGCGACCACCUGGGCUAAUACUGACACUGAGGUGCGAAACGGUGGGGAGCAAACAGGAUUAGAUCCCCUGGUAGUCCACGCCGUAAACGAUGUCGACUAGCCGUUGGGAUCCUUGAGAUCUUAGUGGCGCAGCUAACGCAUUAAGUCGACCGCCUGGGGAGUACGGCCGCAAGGUUAAAACUCAAAUGAAUUGACGGGU